CGGACGGGUGAGUAAUGUCUGAGAAACUGCCCGAUGGAGGGGGAUAACUACUGGAAACGGUAGCUAAUACCGCAUAACGUCGCAAGACCAAAGAGGGGGACCUUCGGGCCUCUUGCCAUCGGAUGCGCCCAGAUGGGAUUAGCUAGUAGGUGGGGUAACGGCUCACCUAGGCGACGAUCCCUAGCUGGUCUGAGAGGAUGACCAGCCACACUGGAACUGAGACACGGUCCAG
RNAcentral lists this ribosomal RNA (232 nucleotides) under uncultured bacterium. RNAcentral's name for it is "partial 16S ribosomal RNA". It matches the Rfam family "Bacterial small subunit ribosomal RNA", at positions 99 to 334 of the family's 1533-position model. The record is from RNAcentral.